This is a long non-coding RNA of Canis lupus familiaris (dog), 640 nucleotides long. RefSeq lists it as uncharacterized. The record is from RefSeq and is a predicted model, not a curated record. The transcript is spliced from 3 exons. Lineage: Eukaryota; Metazoa; Chordata; Mammalia; Carnivora; Canidae.
AUUCAGGUAGCGAUGUGUCACCUUGGGGCAAGCCAGUUUCAAAGCCUCUUCAAGGCCUCAGUUUACUCAUCUAUAAUAUGAGGACAAGAGGAACUCCUGCAGAACCGUGAAAGUUAAAUGAGAUCAUCGCUCAAGUCCCUGGCUCGAGGCCAGUCUCAAGACUUCCUGUAGCACAGACGUGAAACAGACUGGCUUGGCAUCUAACUUCAAAUACAGGCAGCGCAGAGGUAGAGUCACCAGGUAUGUAUGGACAGCCCCAGAGAGCUCCAUCAGGGCGUUUCCAUCAGGCUCCCAAACCAACCCGGCUCCUCUCACCCCAUGUUGAGAAGACUGUGGGUCAGGCUGUUUGUCUCUGGGGCACAUUCCAGAAGGAGCAGAGCCUCCCAUGCCAAGCGGGACUCUGUGGUGCCCUUGCAGACAUUCAAGAAUGACCAGAUAUUCAAUCCUCUGUGGACAACCUCCCAGCAUCCCAUAAUUUGAAGCUCCACAUAGUGGUAUGCUGCUCAUAUUGUAGAAAUGUACCUGCAGUGAAGACCAGCAGUUGAGCUUUACAGCUUAUAGAAUCUAAGAUGCAAUCAACUGGAAGAUGAACCACUAUUUUAUGUACCACUGAGAAAGAAAAAAAUGCUGCCCGCUAAAC